This 448-nucleotide ribosomal RNA is filed under the name uncultured bacterium. RNAcentral's name for it is "bacterial SSU rRNA". It matches the Rfam family "Bacterial small subunit ribosomal RNA", at positions 329 to 793 of the family's 1533-position model. The record is from RNAcentral.
GCCCAGACUCCUACGGGAGGCAGCAGUGGGGAAUAUUGCACAAUGGGGGAAACCCUGAUGCAGCAACGCCGCGUGAAGGAAGACGGUUUUCGGAUUGUAAACUUCUGUUCUUAGUGAAGAAUAAUGACGGCAGCUAAGGAGCAAGCCACGGCUAACUACGUGCCAGCAGCCGCGGUAAUACGUAGGUGGCAAGCGUUAUCCGGAUUUACUGGGUGUAAAGGGCGUGUAGGCGGGAAAGCAGGUCAGAUGUGAAAACCAUGGGCUCAACCUGUGGCCUGCAUUUGAAACUGUUUUUCUUGAGUACUGGAGAGGCAGACGGAAUUCCUAGUGUAGCGGUGAAAUGCGUAGAUAUUAGGAGGAACACCGGUGGCGAAGGCGGCCUGCUGGACUGCGACUGACGUUGAGGCCCGAGAGCGUGGGGAGCAAACAGGAUUAGAUACCCGGGUAG